AACCAGCACCUCAAGUGGUCAGGAUGAUUAUUGGGCCUAAAGCAUCCGUAGCCUGUUCUGUAAGUUUUCGGUUAAAUCUAUGCGCUCAACGUAUAGGCUGCCGAAAAUACUGCAGAACUAGGGAGUGGGAGAGGUAGACGGUACUCGGUAGGAAGGGGUAAAAUCCUUUGAUCUAUUGAUGACCACCUGUGGCGAAGGCGGUCUACCAGAACACGUUCGACGGUGAGGGAUGAAAGCUGGGGGAGCAAACC
This 251-nucleotide ribosomal RNA is filed under the name uncultured archaeon. RNAcentral describes it as "partial 16S ribosomal RNA". It matches the Rfam family "Archaeal small subunit ribosomal RNA", at positions 474 to 725 of the family's 1478-position model. The record is from RNAcentral.